GAUGAAGAACGCAGCGAAAUGCGAUAAGUAGUGUGAAUUGCAGAAUUCAGUGAAUCAUCGAAUCUUUGAACGCACAUUGCGCCCCUUGGUAUCCCGAGGGGCAUGCCUGUUCGAGCGCCAUUUCACCACUCAAGCCUGGCUUGGUGUUGGGCGACGUCCCCUUUGGGGACGCGCCUCGAAACGCUCGGCGGCGUGGCACCGGCUUUAAGCGUAGCAGAAUCUUUCGCUUUGGAAGUCGGGGCCCCGUCUGCCGGAAGACCUACUCGCAAGGUUGACCUCGGAUCAGGCAGGGAUACCCGCUGAACUUAAGCAUAUCAAUAAGCGGAGGA
Molecule: unclassified non-coding RNA, 329 nt
Filed under: soil metagenome
Description: partial contains 5.8S ribosomal RNA, internal transcribed spacer 2, and large subunit ribosomal RNA
Rfam family: 5.8S ribosomal RNA (bases 1-120)
Source: RNAcentral